GAUCCUGGCUCAGGAUGAACGCUAGCGACAGGCUUAACACAUGCAAGUCGAGGGGCAGCGGGAUUGAAGCUUGCUUCAAUUGCCGGCGACCGGCGCACGGGUGAGUAACGCGUAUCCAACCUUCCGUACACUCAGGGAUAGCCUUUCGAAAGAAAGAUUAAUACCUGAUGGUAUGGUGAGAUUGCAUGAUAGCAUCAUUAAAGAUUUAUCGGUGUACGAUGGGGAUGCGUU
Molecule: ribosomal RNA, 231 nt
Filed under: uncultured bacterium
Lineage: Bacteria
Description: partial 16S ribosomal RNA
Rfam family: Bacterial small subunit ribosomal RNA
Source: RNAcentral